RNAcentral lists this ribosomal RNA (468 nucleotides) under uncultured bacterium. RNAcentral describes it as "partial 16S ribosomal RNA". It matches the Rfam family "Bacterial small subunit ribosomal RNA", at positions 28 to 507 of the family's 1533-position model. The record is from RNAcentral.
GACGAACGCUGGCGGCGUGCUUAACACAUGCAAGUCGAACGGACAGGCCCUGCUCUUGUGGGGCUCUCGAUUGGCGAACGGGUGAGUAACACGUGAGUAUCCUGCCCUUGUCUUUCUGCUAUCUCUAGGAAACUGGGGCUCAUAUCGGAUAUAACCUCUUGCUCCAUGUGGGGGGUUGGUAAGAUGCGGCGUUUGGGGAUGGACUCGCGGCUUACUAGCUUGUUGGUGGGGUAGUGGCUUACCAAGGCUUUGACGGGUAGCCGGCCUGAGAGGGUGACCAGCCACAUUGGGACUGAGAUACGGACCAGACUCCUACGGGAGGCAGCGGUGGGGAAUAUUGCACAAUGGGCGGGAGCCUGAUGCAACAACGCCGCGUGCGGGAUGACGGCCUUCGGGUUGUAAACCGCUUUGGACUGUGACGAAGCGUGAGUGACGGUAAUGGGUAAAGAAGCAACGGCUAACUACGUG